AUGGCUCCAGCUCGAUUUGUUGCAGGGAUGCUGCUGGCGGCGAUCGCCUGUGUGCUCUCCGUGGCCGCGGACAACCCGACCACGCCCUCCCAGCAACCCUUCGUCUGGCAGAAGGCGCAUGCGACGUUCUACGGCGGCGCUGACGCCUCUGACACAAUGAGUGGCGCGUGCGGGUAUGGUAACCUCUUCUCUGAAGGGUACGGGACACGCACGGCGGCUCUGAGCACCGUGUUGUUCAAUGACGGCGCCGCAUGCGGGCAGUGCUACAAGAUCGCAUGCGACCGAAAGCGCGCGGAUCCGUUGUUUUGCAAGCCUGGUGUGACGGUCACUGUCACGGCCACGAACUUCUGCCCGCCCAACGAUGCCCUCCCCAAUGACAACGGCGGCUGGUGCAACCCACCGCGGCCGCAUUUCGACAUGGCCCAGCCAGCCUGGGAGAAGAUCGGUGUUUAUAAAGGUGUUCAUUCCAUCAAUUGUGUAUUCUUCAAAUUAACUUCUAUCAUGCAUUCUGUGAAUAGAUAUGUCAUUCUAGUGCUAUGCAUGGUAACUCACGCUUAUAAGAAAGAAACACUAUUCGAAUCGAAACUCAAGUUUGUGUUGUUGAAUGGUCGCAAGUAG
This 618-nucleotide ribosomal RNA is filed under the name Triticum aestivum (bread wheat). RNAcentral's name for it is "partial small subunit ribosomal RNA". Lineage: Eukaryota; Viridiplantae; Streptophyta; Magnoliopsida; Poales; Poaceae. The record is from RNAcentral.